This 253-nucleotide ribosomal RNA is filed under the name uncultured bacterium. RNAcentral describes it as "partial 16S ribosomal RNA". It matches the Rfam family "Bacterial small subunit ribosomal RNA", at positions 524 to 776 of the family's 1533-position model. The record is from RNAcentral.
UACGGAGGAUCCAAGCGUUAUCCGGAUUUAUUGGGUUUAAAGGGUGCGUAGGUGGUUCUUUAAGUCAGGGGUGAAAGACGGCAGCUUAACUGUCGCAGUGCCUUUGAUACUGAAGAACUUGAAUACACUAGAGGUAGGCGGAAUGUGACAAGUAGCGGUGAAAUGCAUAGAUAUGUCACAGAACACCAAUUGCGAAGGCAGCUUGCUACACUGUUAUUGACACUGAGGCACGAAAGCGUGGGGAUCAAACAGG